This 325-nucleotide ribosomal RNA is filed under the name uncultured eukaryote. RNAcentral describes it as "partial 18S ribosomal RNA". It matches the Rfam family "Eukaryotic small subunit ribosomal RNA", at positions 1470 to 1796 of the family's 1831-position model. The record is from RNAcentral.
CCCUUAGAUGUCCUGGGCCGCACGCGCGCUACACUGACAUGUUCAACAAGCCUCCUAGUUCGACAGGAUUUGGGAAAUCUUUGAACGCAUGUCGUGAUAGGGAUAGAUCAUUGCAAUUAUUAAUCUCCAACGAGGAAUUCCUAGUAAACGCAAGUCAUCAGCUUGCAUUGAAUACGUCCCUGCCCUUUGUACACACCGCCCGUCGCACCUACCGAUUGAAUGGUCCGGUGAAAUCUUCGGACUCUGUGUUUAUUGAUUAGUUUCAAUUUACUACUGGAGAAAGUUGAGUAAACCUUACCAUUUAGAGGAAGGUGAAGUCGUAACA